CCUUUCGCCUCUCUCUCUCUCUCUCUCGAGCGUUUUUAAUUUUUUUUGUUAAUUAAAUUACAAAUAAGUAUUAAUGGCCUUCAUUUGGUACCAAUCAAUCAAGUGAGAGAUGAGUUGUUUAAAUGUUUGAUUUGAGUUGUUUGAAUGUUUUAUUUUACUUGAAUUCGAGUCUCCAACUAGAAGAAAGAGAAAGAUCUGAAUGGGAGCAAGGCAGAACAUGGAACAAACGAGUGCAUGAGAAUUUUAUGUUCAGGGGAUUUGGGGAAAGGGUGACCAAUCAUUUGAAAAAACUCAGGAAAGAAACGUUGCUGACUGUGUACCUGUGACGAUGCAACAUUGAUACGCUUCUGUGUCAAUUUGGCUUCAGUUAUUUGAUGAGAGCAUAUUUUGCACCGCACAUUCUCACUAAACCAGUGUACAUGAGCUGCAGAGGGUUGUUGUUAAAAUACAAAAAGAAAGUUGCAGGAGACUUUUGUUUUUUUUUUUUGUGCUUUUGGGGGCUUUUGUUUGCAAUUUUGGAACCGCUCUCUGCUCAGGCCUAUGAUAGCACUGAGGGUGAAAAGCGUGCUGUUUACAGAGGCAAAACAAGAGACAUCUUCUACUUCAUAUGGGAAGAAGAGGUUAGUUUGAUUGUGAUUGCUUUUAUGAUUUGGUUAAGUUCGAAGUUAGUUGGCUUACGUCUAAUUAGUCGUUUGCAUUGUUUGCACAUGUAGUUGUUUUGUAACUUAGUUGAUUUGGGUUUGUGCAGUUUUUUUUCUCCAUAGUAUGCAUAUUCACUGUUAUUCACCAGAUAUUUAACAAUAUUUUUUUCUUGCAUUUUUUCCCACGCUGAAUUGUGAAACGACAAGCAAUAUAAACAUAUGAAUUUUGUUUCUUCA
Long non-coding RNA from Pyrus x bretschneideri (Chinese white pear), 878 nucleotides. RefSeq lists it as uncharacterized. The record is from RefSeq and is a predicted model, not a curated record. The transcript is spliced from 5 exons. Lineage: Eukaryota; Viridiplantae; Streptophyta; Magnoliopsida; Rosales; Rosaceae.